RNAcentral lists this ribosomal RNA (235 nucleotides) under uncultured bacterium. Its description in RNAcentral is "partial 16S ribosomal RNA". It matches the Rfam family "Bacterial small subunit ribosomal RNA", at positions 99 to 334 of the family's 1533-position model. The record is from RNAcentral.
CGGACGGGUGAGUAACGCGUGGAUAACCUGCCUCACACUGGGGGAUAACAGUUAGAAAUGGCUGCUAAUACCGCAUAAACGCACAGUACCGCAUGGUACGGUGUGAAAAACCCAGGUGGUGUGAGAUGGAUCCGCGUCUGAUUAGCCAGUUGGCGGGGUAACGGCCCACCAAAGCGACGAUCAGUAGCCGACCUGAGAGGGUGACCGGCCACAUUGGGACUGAGACACGGCCCAA